UACAGAGGUCUCAAGCGUUGUUCGGAUUCAUUGGGCGUAAAGGGUGCGUAGGUGGCGGGGUAAGUCUGGUGUGAAAUCUCGGGGCUCAACCCCGAAACUGCACUGGAUACUGCCUUGCUUGAGUACUGGAGAGGAGAUUGGAAUUUACGGUGUAGCAGUGAAAUGCGUAGAUAUCGUAAGGAAGACCAGUGGCGAAGGCGAAUCUCUGGACAGUUACUGACACUGAGGCACGAAGGCCAGGGGAGCAAACGGG
Molecule: ribosomal RNA, 253 nt
Filed under: uncultured bacterium
Lineage: Bacteria
Description: partial 16S ribosomal RNA
Rfam family: Bacterial small subunit ribosomal RNA
Source: RNAcentral